Molecule: ribosomal RNA, 496 nt
Filed under: uncultured bacterium
Lineage: Bacteria
Description: partial 16S ribosomal RNA
Rfam family: Bacterial small subunit ribosomal RNA
Source: RNAcentral
ACGCACGCUGGCGGCGUGCCUAAUACAUGCAAGUUGAGCGAUGAAGAUUGGUGCUUGCACCAAUUUGAAGAGCAGCGAACGGGUGAGUAACGCGUGGGGAAUCUGCCUUUGAGCGGGGGACAACAUUUGGAAACGAAUGCUAAUACCGCAUAACAACUUUAAACAUAAGUUUUAAGUUUGAAAGAUGCAAUUGCAUCACUCAAAGAUGAUCCCGCGUUGUAUUAGCUAGUUGGUGAGGUAAAGGCUCACCAAGGCGAUGAUACAUAGCCGACCUGAGAGGGUGAUCGGCCACAUUGGGACUGAGACACGGCCCAAACUCCUACGGGAGGCAGCAGUAGGGAAUCUUCGGCAAUGGACGAAAGUCUGACCGAGCAACGCCGCGUGAGUGAAGAAGGUUUUCGGAUCGUAAAACUCUGUUGGUAGAGAAGAACGUUGGUGAGAGUGGAAAGCUCAUCAAGUGACGGUAACUACCCAGAGAGGGACGGCUAACUACGUG